Mesocricetus auratus (golden hamster) is the source of this 533-nucleotide long non-coding RNA. RefSeq lists it as uncharacterized. Lineage: Eukaryota; Metazoa; Chordata; Mammalia; Rodentia; Cricetidae. The record is from RefSeq and is a predicted model, not a curated record. The transcript is spliced from 2 exons.
CUAGCAUUGUCACAGCUGUUAGCGGUGAGGACCGUGGUGACGGUGACACGGACGAAGGGGGCGUGGCAGCCGGGGGCCUUGGAUGUGCCUGUGGACGGAAGCUUCCGGCAACUCAGUCUCCCAGAGCCCUUGAGGACCCCGCAGGUGGCCAUUCGCCUGGAGUCUCCUUUCCUCAUCAAGACAAGAAGCCAGGGCUGUGGCUGCGCUCUGGUGGGCGUUUCUCCCAGCCGCCUUCCUUUUGGGCCCCUCUUGCCCUCAUGGCCAGUGAGUUCCAGCUUCUGGUGGGUCAGAGAUGGUGAGACGAGGUGUCCUUUGCUGCUGGUCUGCCUGUCUGCCCAGCCUUGGAGAUGGCCCGCCUGUUCAGAGCCGUACGGAGCACACCUGUGCAGCAAGAUGUUCGUGGUCCACCCUGCCGCAGGUGGGGGAAGGGGGCUCUGUCCUUGGGUUCCCUGUGUGUGGCAAUGGGAAUCCCCACAGAUCCUGGAGGCUUUAGAUCUUGUUAAUUAAACCCUUUUGGGUUUCUUCUUUCUGAG